AUUUUGCGUUAGGGAGUGCAGUGAAAAUCCUUUUGUUUUUGAAAAAAACAAAAGAUUGUAGCGGAAAGCCCGGUCGCGA
This 79-nucleotide small RNA is filed under the name Flavobacterium segetis. RNAcentral's name for it is "Flavo-1 RNA". It matches the Rfam family "Flavo-1 RNA". The record is from RNAcentral. Lineage: Bacteria; Pseudomonadati; Bacteroidota; Flavobacteriia; Flavobacteriales; Flavobacteriaceae.